GCCACUCUGAAAAGCAGAGGCGUCUCGCGGCGACCUCUCGCCCACGGUGAAAGCCGACCUCGGUCGGUGAAGCUCUCAGGCCCAUGACAGAGGGGGAGCC
RNAcentral lists this non-coding RNA (100 nucleotides) under Frigoribacterium sp. RNAcentral describes it as "Glycine sequence". It matches the Rfam family "Glycine riboswitch aptamer". Rfam says of the family: This family represents the bacterial glycine riboswitch. The record is from RNAcentral. Lineage: Bacteria; Bacillati; Actinomycetota; Actinomycetes; Micrococcales; Microbacteriaceae.